This is a non-coding RNA of Paramuricea clavata, 756 nucleotides long. The record is from the annotation of a GenBank genome assembly. NCBI's taxonomy places the organism in Eukaryota, Metazoa, Cnidaria, Anthozoa, Malacalcyonacea, Plexauridae.
GCUUCCCUAACAUGUCAAACAGUAGUUAACUAUUGGGCCGAGAUCAGCGAGAUGGUAUGGGCCGAGUUGGUCAGUGGGCCGAGUUGACACUCGAGAACAUUUUCUCCUUAUCAUAUUACGUUACGCUGCACCAGAAUCGCGCAGGAGUUCGAUUCCUACCAGAGAGCCAAUUAUAUAUUUGAACAUAAUUUUCGCUAGGAAUAGACCUUUCCCCUUAUAACCAAAAUUUUGAUCUAGGCAAGUCUAGACAAAUAUUUCAUCACAGCUUGAAAGAGCAUCACAAAAUUAGUAAUAUUCCAAAGUUUCGUUGCGAAAUGUUGUAAAAUGAGGAAAAUAGAGCCUUGCGAAGUUUGCAAUUUUCAGUCAUUUUGCAUUACAAACGGGAAAUUGCAAUCCCAACACCCGAAUCGUAUGUCAAUUUCCCGUUUGUAAUACAAAAUGACUGAAAAACGGCAAACUUCGCAAGGCUACAUUAUCCGCAUUUUACAAGAUUUCGCAACAAAACUUUGGAAUAUUACUAAUUUUGUGAUGCUCUUUCAAGCUGUGAUGAAAUUUUUGUCUAGAUCGAAAUUUUAGUUAUAAGAGGAAAGGUCCAUUUCCAGCUUUAAAAACCGUUCAGCAUUUUGUUUCGAGAAUUACCACAUUGAAUGUUUUCUGUGUUGGUAUUAUGUACUCAGGUGAAUAGUUACUCUGUACCGUGGUGUUUGUGAUGUUACUCUGUACCGUGGCCAGGCAUAUUUUCAAGCUCGCCCGGUG